This 649-nucleotide ribosomal RNA is filed under the name uncultured bacterium. RNAcentral describes it as "bacterial SSU rRNA". It matches the Rfam family "Bacterial small subunit ribosomal RNA", at positions 747 to 1395 of the family's 1533-position model. The record is from RNAcentral.
UCAGAUGCGAAAGCGUGGGUAGCAAACAGGAUUAGAUACCCUGGUAGUCCACGCCGUAAACGCUGUCUACUUGGAGGUUGAGGUUUUAGACUUUGGCUUUCGGCGCUAACGCAUUAAGUAGACCGCCUGGGGAGUACGGCCGCAAGGUUAAAACUCAAAUGAAUUGACGGGGGCCCGCACAAGCGGUGGAGCAUGUGGUUUAAUUCGAUGCAACGCGAAGAACCUUACCUACUCUUGACAUCCAGCGAAGCCUUUAGAGAUAGAGGCGUGCCUUCGGGAGCGCUGAGACAGGUGCUGCAUGGCUGUCGUCAGCUCGUGUUGUGAAAUGUUGGGUUAAGUCCCGCAACGAGCGCAACCCUUAUCCUUGUUUGCCAGCACAUAAUGGUGGGAACUCCAGGGAGACUGCCGGUGAUAAACCGGAGGAAGGUGGGGACGACGUCAAGUCAUCAUGGCCCUUACGAGUAGGGCUACACACGUGCUACAAUGGCAGAUACAGAGGGCAGCGAGACAGCGACGUUUAGCGAAUCCCUUAAAGUUUGUCGUAGUCCGGAUUGGAGUCUGCAACUCGACUCCAUGAAGUCGGAAUCGCUAGUAAUCGUGGAUCAGAAUGCCACGGUGAAUACGUUCCCGGGCCUUGUACACACCGCCC